UACGUAGGGAGCAAGCGUUGUCCGGAAUUACUGGGCGUAAAGAGUGCGUAGGCGGCACGAUAAGUCAGAUGUGAAAUACCAAGGCUCAACCUUGGAACUGCAUUUGAAACUGUCGAGCUGGAGUAUAGGAGAGGAAAGUAGAAUUCCUGGUGUAGCGGUAAAAUGCGUAGAUAUCAGGAGGAAUACCGGUGGCGAAGGCGGCCCCCUGGACAAAGACUGACGCUCAGGUGCGAAAGCGUGGGGAGCAAACAGG
This 253-nucleotide ribosomal RNA is filed under the name uncultured bacterium. RNAcentral's name for it is "partial 16S ribosomal RNA". It matches the Rfam family "Bacterial small subunit ribosomal RNA", at positions 524 to 776 of the family's 1533-position model. The record is from RNAcentral.